AGUGAACGCUGGCGGUAGGCCUAACACAUGCAAGUCGAACGGCAGCACAGUAAGAGCUUGCUCUUACGGGUGGCGAGUGGCGGACGGGUUAGGAAUACAUCGGAAUCUACUUUUUCGUGGGGGAUAACGUAGGGAAACUUACGCUACUACCGCAUACGACCUACGGGUGAAAGCAGGGGAUCUUCGGACCUUGCGCGAUUGAAUGAGCCGAUGUCGGAUUAGCUAGUUGGCGGGGUAAAGGCCCACCAAGGCGACGAUCCGUAGCUGGUCUGAGAGGAUGAUCAGCCACACUGGAACUGAGACACGGUCCAGACUCCUACGGGAGGCAGCAGUGGGGAAUAUUGGACAAUGGGCGCAAGCCUGAUCCAGCCAUACCGCGUGGGUGAAGAAGGCCUUCGGGUUGUAAAGCCCUUUUGUUGGGAAAGAAAAGCAGCAGGUUAAUACCCCGCUGUUCUGACGGUACCCAAAGAAUAAGCACCGGCUAACUUCGUG
Molecule: ribosomal RNA, 492 nt
Filed under: uncultured bacterium
Lineage: Bacteria
Description: partial 16S ribosomal RNA
Rfam family: Bacterial small subunit ribosomal RNA
Source: RNAcentral